GGAGGGGUGGCCGAGCGGUUGAAGGCGCACGAUUGGAAAUCGUGUAUACGUUCAUAGCGUAUCGUGGGUUCGAAUCCCAUCCCCUCCGCCA
Molecule: transfer RNA, 91 nt
Filed under: Caedimonas sp.
Lineage: Bacteria; Pseudomonadati; Pseudomonadota; Alphaproteobacteria; Holosporales; Caedimonadaceae
Description: tRNA-Ser
Rfam family: tRNA
About the family: Transfer RNA (tRNA) molecules are approximately 80 nucleotides in length. Their secondary structure includes four short double-helical elements and three loops (D, anti-codon, and T loops). Further hydrogen bonds mediate the characteristic L-shaped molecular structure. tRNAs have two regions of fundamental functional importance: the anti-codon, which is responsible for specific mRNA codon recognition, and the 3' end, to which the tRNAs corresponding amino acid is attached (by aminoacyl-tRNA synthetases). tRNAs cope with the degeneracy of the genetic code in two manners: having more than one tRNA (with a specific anti-codon) for a particular amino acid; and 'wobble' base-pairing, i.e. permitting non-standard base-pairing at the 3rd anti-codon position.
Source: RNAcentral